AGAGAAACUACAGUAAAAAAGGGAAAGCUUUAUAUUUCAGUACCUUUAACAGCAUUCUUUCCCUAUUUUUUGAACAAAGGACCUACAUUUUCAUCUGAUACUAUGCCAUGCAAAUAAUGUAGUCAGCCCUAUUUUUAACAAGCCUCCCAGUAAUUCUGACGAAAAACCAGGAUUGAGAGCCACUGGAGCAGAAGACCUUAUUAAGUCCCCGUGGCUGCUGAGACUGCGCGGGACUGAGUAUUGGAUGGGCCCCUGCUGCCCUCUAGCGACGACGCUGCACUGGUGCACGGUGUAUUAACCGGCUUCUGAGCUAUGGCCUUCUUGCUGUCUGACACUGCUCUGGGGUUUCCAGUCAAACUGCCCGGUAAUUUUGGUUCUUGCUCAUUAAUAACGAUGCUCAGGUAUAAAAGUGGUGAUGCAUCUCUGUCCCCAGCACCUUGGAACAUCCUAGCUAUUCAUUGGUAAGGCUCGUGGCAAACAUCGGUGGCAUGUCUGUCAGGAUUUUUCUUUCCAAGGAUGUAGGACCCAUAACAUGUAAGAAUCGGUAGCCAUAAACAGUUUCCUGAAGAAAUUUGAUGACGAUAACUGUGGC
RNAcentral lists this long non-coding RNA (592 nucleotides) under Marmota monax (woodchuck). The record is from RNAcentral. Lineage: Eukaryota; Metazoa; Chordata; Mammalia; Rodentia; Sciuridae.